ACGGGAGGCAGCAGUGGGGAAUAUUGCACAAUGGAGGAAACUCUGAUGCAGCAACGCCGCGUGAAGGAUGAAGGUCUUCGGAUCGUAAACUUCUGUCCUUAGGGAAGAUAAUGACGGUACCUUUGGAGGAAGCCCCGGCUAACUACGUGCCAGCAGCCGCGGUAAUACGUAGGGGGCAAGCGUUAUCCGGAAUUAUUGGGCGUAAAGAGUGCGUAGGUGGUUACCUAAGCAGGGGGUGAAAGGCAUUGGCUUAACCAAUGUUAGCCCCCUGAACUGGGCUACUUGAGUGCAGGAGGGGAAAGCGGAAUUCCUAGUGUAGCGGUGAAAUGCGUAGAUAUUAGGAGGAACACCGGUGGCGAAGGCGGCUUUCUGGACUGUAACUGACACUGAGGCACGAAAGUGUGGGGAGCAAACAGGAUUAGAUACCCUGGUA
RNAcentral lists this ribosomal RNA (433 nucleotides) under uncultured bacterium. RNAcentral describes it as "partial 16S ribosomal RNA". It matches the Rfam family "Bacterial small subunit ribosomal RNA", at positions 341 to 792 of the family's 1533-position model. RNAcentral also lists the same sequence under 1 other name. The record is from RNAcentral.